GGGCCCGCACAAGCGGUGGAGUAUGUGGUUUAAUUCGAUGCAACGCGAAGAACCUUACCAGGGUUUGACAUCCUGCGAAUCUCUUGGAAACGAGAGAGUGCCUUCGGGAGCGCAGUGACAGGUGGUGCAUGGCUGUCGUCAGCUCGUGUCGUGAGAUGUUGGGUUAAGUCCCGCAACGAGCGCAACCCACGUCUUUAGUUGCCAGCGAUUCGGUCGGGAACUAUAAGGGGACUGCCGGUGAUAAACCGGAGGAAGGUGUGGAUGACGUCAAGUCAUCAUGCCCCUUACAUCCUGGGCUACACACGUACUACAAUGCUACGGACAAAGGGCAGCAAACUCGCGAGAGCUAGCAAAUCCCAUAAACCGUGGCUCAGUUCAGAUCGUAGGCUGCAACUCGCCUACGUGAAGGAGGAAUCGCUAG
Molecule: ribosomal RNA, 421 nt
Filed under: uncultured bacterium
Lineage: Bacteria
Description: bacterial SSU rRNA
Rfam family: Bacterial small subunit ribosomal RNA
Source: RNAcentral